This 13155-nucleotide long non-coding RNA is filed under the name Ananas comosus (pineapple). Its description in RNAcentral is "long non-coding RNA (ACOM_LNC021388)". Lineage: Eukaryota; Viridiplantae; Streptophyta; Magnoliopsida; Poales; Bromeliaceae. The record is from RNAcentral.
GGGUAGGAAACUAAAUCUCAUUAGAAUAUAUGAGGCCUACACGUUAGUAAUAAUAACUAGGCUUAUGCAUUUUGGACCAGUGGUUUGGGCCCAACGAGUUAUUAUUGCUUGCGGGUCGGGUCGUUACAUUUUCCCUCUCUCUUACCUUUACUUAUCGUACCUGCGCUCUAAAGACCUCUCCUUUCUCUCGCUUUCUCUUUCUAUUGCAUCUCCCCGCCAGAACCCUACCCUUGCCUAGGGUUUUCGAUAUGCAUUGUACGUCUUGAUCUACUCCCAAUCGAGGCAUUAAAUACUAUCAUGGAAAUGUCAUCUUCAGCAUCUUUGGGAUUACUCUAUUGCCGGUUGUUGCGAGCCGAAAAUCCAGACCAUUGACCCAAUCAGUAUUUUCCUUUGGGAAGCGAGUCGAGAGGUGGGCCGACUCUUGAUGAUAACCCUCGAAUGCGCCCAAGACUAAUCAAGCGAUCGACUGAGGAGGGAUAUACUCAGCCGAGUUCGAACACUCAUUGUAUUAAUGACUUGGCUGAAUGAGCCAAGUGACUUAUCUUUAUUUCAGAAAAAGAGUUGAAAUACAGAGGUUGUUAUAGAGAUGAGUCCUACUGCUAACUUGUCCUACCAAGCCUUUAACUAACAAAAAUAACUACUAUAGCAAAGUAGAAAAUAAAGAAAUUGAAAUUGCAGUGGUCUCUUGUAUGUGAAAAAAGACCCCUUGCACAGGCGUGUUCUGUUUAUUUAUAAUCCUGCUUGCCGUAAUUUAGUUAAUCCUUCUCGUGGGAGUAUUAAACCAAACAUAGUAACGCUAUAAACACUGCAAUCCAGUAUUACAUUACUGUAUUAAAUUAAACGCACUAAUACAGUAUCAGUAGUAACCUCAUUUAGAAAUCUAAGAUAUUUGGAUAUAUCGAAAUACUCUGUAAUAUAACAUAACUCGAACCAAACACGCCCUUAACAGAAUUGUAUUGAUGCAAAUCCAAUCGCAACCCAAUCAAUUUCAAUCAAACAAUGUUAAGUAAAUAGAAAUUAAAUCUAACUCAAACUCAAUUUGAAUCUAACUUAAAUCCAAGCCUAUACUAAAUAUAAAUGCAUGUGAAACCCCAAUUCCAGUCUAAUCAAAUCAAAUACUAAAAGUCGUAUUUUUUUUUUUUUUGCCAGAAAUUAUUUUUUACUGAAAUUUUUUUUUCAUAAUUUUACAUGAAAUCAAAUAACCCAUAAGCCAGCACGACACGAGUGCUAGUUUAUCGAGAUAAAUUAUUCUUUACAAAAUCAAUUUAGAAAACUAGUCACACAAUUUUAUAAAAUAUUCCAAAAAAUUACUUUUUUGUCAGACUCGGUCAAAUAAUUUAUAGCUUUUAACUAAAAAUAAUUCUACAAAUCAAAAUUAUCUUAACAGAAAUUAAUUUUUCAAAAGGUAGGCUAAACAGGCCCUUAACUAUAUAUUUUGAUGAUAGAUAAAUUUAUGGACACAUAAAAAGGACUUUUUUUUUAUAAAACAAAUAAACAAUCCUCUAAAAUUUUGGUAUUUACGAAAUAAUCCUGCCAAAAUUAUAUUUAAAAAACCAACUCUCUUUUUGCCAUGUAAGAUGUACAUUGGGAUUUUCACUUAAAAACGGUGAACAAUUUACUGUCUUCAUAAAAUUUCUCACAAAAACGGUGAAUCAUUCACCGUUUUUUAUUUAUUUACUGUUUAUUUCUAUAUUCAAUAUUUCAAUGUUAACAAUCUGAAAAUUCUAAUAAUCUAUCUAUACAAUCUUAACAAUAAAAAAAUUCUAAUAAUCUAUCAAUAUAAUCCUAAUAAUCAAACAUAAUAUAUAAUCUUAACAAUUUGAAAAUCCUAAUAAUCUUUCCAUAUAAUCCUAGUAAUAAAAAAAGUCCUAAUAAUUUAUCCAUAUAAUCCUAAUAAUCAAACGAAUAUAAUCCUAACAAUCAAACGAAUAUUCUAAUAAUUCAUAUAUAAUUCUAACAACCUCACUUUUUUUAUUUUCCGUAUAAUCUAUAUAUAAUUUUAACAAUCUCAUUUUUUUCUCUUUCUCAUAUUAUAUUAUAUAAUCCUCAAUAAAAAAUUAUGAAGAAGGCGGUGAAUCGUUAACAUUCUUAAUGAAUACGGUGAACGAUACAUCACUUUUAAAAAACCUUGGAUUCUUUCAGAAUACGGUAAACAAUUCACCGUAUUUCGGAAAAAAAAAUCUGACGUGGCUCCUACAUGGCGAAAAGAGGAUUAGUUUGCCAAAUAUAUAAUUUGAUAGGGUUAUUUCGUAAAUUAUAAAAUUUUAGAGGAUUAUUUUAUAAAAAAAAUCCCAUAAAAAUAUAGAAUUCAACACCCCAACCAAUGCACUAAUCCUACAUUAGUGCUAAAGCACACUAACAUACCGGUCAAAUUAAAUUUCUAACAUUGGGAGGAUUAAUUUGCAAUUUAGCUCGAAAUCUCUGCGCAUCUCCGUAGAUUGAGUGAUUUGGACGGCCGAGAUUCGUCUCUGGGCGCACGAUCGUCAUCAAAGGGUGAGCCGAAGCUCUGAUCUUCGUGCGCCUCGGUUUCCGCCCCCCGUUCUCCAUUUAUUUACCAAAUUGCCAUUCCCAACACGCUUUAAUAAUUAAAGUGCCACGUCAUCGCAAAAUGCCUAAUUAAAAAAAUUUUAAAAAAAUCCGUAUUUACGUUCGAGAAAUUUUCGAUCGUGCCACCGCUUUAAAACUUGUGCGGUACAGUAGGAUAGAAACUAUUGCAUGCGCUUGGUGCAUCGUGCACCGUACUUUAAAAAUCCAAUUAUGGACUAUUUUGAUUUAACUAUUUAAUCUUUUAAAAAUUUUGAUUUCACAACUCAACCUUUUAAUUUUUUUGAUUUAAAUAAUUUGAUGGCCGUUCGAAAAUAAAAUUAAGCUAAUUUCUUAAUUUAAUAAAUUUAUAGUUACGUUGUAUGGAUAAACUGCGGUUUCAAUUUUUUAAAUUAAAGAGUUACUAAUUGGCUUAAAUCAAAUAAAUUAAAAAAUUGGUAGAAAAAUUAAAAUUUUCGAAGAUUAAAUACUCAAAUUUAAAUGGGUGAUAAUUGAGAUAAAUUUUAUGCAUUUUUACCUAUAUAUUAAAGAGGAUUGAUAUUGCUAAACCAAGUUUUAUAUGGGGUAACACAUUCAUUAAUUGUAUCUAAUCAUAAUUUAAACAUUUUUACUCUAUCAAUAAUACAAUUAUUUUGAUAAUAUUAAUUUUUAUAGUAAAAAAUAUAAAUGUAGACACUUAUUUCUUUUGGCCAAUUUGCAUAAAAAAUCCACUAAUUUUGGGAUUUUGCAAAAGUGGGGCCACCUUUUUCGUUUUUGCAGAUUAUGUCCUAUUUUUCAGCAAACUGACCAAAAUACCCUUGUACCUUUUUCUCUCUCCUCUUUUUUUUUCUCUCGUUCUUUUUUUUCUUUCUCUUCCCAGAGAGUGGCAGAGGCUGAAAUGCCACCCCUGCCCCGGCGACGUCGCCCUCGCUCGCUCCGGCGACGUCGUCGACAACGAGCCCGCCUCCCCUGCCUUGGCCCGAAUCCUCCGACCCUGCUGAGGCCGCGCCGCCACCCUCUUCUCCACUAGGACACGGCAACGUUGAGACGCAGGCUCUUCUUCUCCACCAUGCGUCGAAAUGCCGAGACGUUGUCGGAGGCGGCGAGAUCACCCUGACGACGUCGUGGUGGUUGCGAUAGAAAGCAAGGGAGGGAGAGGUGGUGACAAAAAAAAAUUAUAGAAAAAAAUAAGAAUAACAAAAAUAAAAAUAAAAAAAAAUUUCUUACAGAAAAGAUUAAAAAAUAUAGGGGAAGGAAGAAGAUGAUGAGAAUUACACUCUUAGAAUAAAAUUACACUGUUUUAAAAAAAAUUUGCACUGUUUUAAUAAAAAUUGCACUAUUUGAUAUAAAAAUUAUAUUUUUUUCUUCCUCUUCUUCUUUUUCUUCUUCUCUUUCUCCUUUUUUAUUUCUUUCGACGAGAACGUCCUUCUUCUUCUUCUUCUCUUUCUCCUUUUUUUUUUCUUCUUUUUUUUAUCACAUUUUAAAAAGAUUUACCACGUUGGAACCGGAUUUCUCACAUUUUAGAUAAAGUNCUUUUUUUUUUUUUUUUUCCUCUUUCUCUUCUUCUUUCUGCAGGAGCAGCUUUCUUCUUCUUCUUCUUCUUCUUCUUCUUCUUCCUGCAGGAGCACCACCCACCCGCCGGCUCUGGAGGCGUCGGUGGUGGCGGAUUGGCCGGAGUGGGUGCGGCGGCUGGGGAAGGCAGUGGCACCCGCCGCGCGCAUCUCGCCCUAGAACGCCGAUAGCGAGGAGCGCCCCGCGACGUCGUCGGAGGCGUCGUUAAUUAAGAAAAAACAAAAAAAAAAAGAAAUGGUAGAGAUCUAAUUUCAAUAGCAAAUAAUCAGAUCAAAAUAAUAUAAUUAGUAAGGAGGAGUCGUUAAUUAAGAAGAAGAAAGAAAGAGAGUUAAUUAAUUACCGACGAGGCGAGGUGCAUGUGGCGGAGGCGAUUAAUGAUGGUGAGCUCGGCGCGCGCGCCACUGCCCUCCCAAGCCACCGCACCCACUCCAACCGAUCCGCCACCGCCGCCACCUUCUCCUCCCCCACCCCCACCAUCGCCAACACCCCCAUCGCCUCUGCCUUUGCCUCCAGAGCCGGCGGGUGGGUGCUGCUCCUGCAGGAAGAAGAAGAAGAAGAAGAAGAAAAAGAAAAGGAGGGAAAAAAAAAAAAACCUGCUCCUGCAGGAAGAAGAAGAAGAAGAAAAAGAAGAAGAAGAAGAGGAGAAAGAGGAAAAAAAAAGAAAAGAAAAGAAAGCUGCUCCUGCAGGAAGAGGAAGAAGAAAAAGAGAAAGAGAAAAAAAAAGAAGAAGAAAGAAAUAGUGUAAAUUUUUUUUAAAUGGUGCAACUUUGGUCUAAAGAGUGUAAAAUCUAUUUCAAAAGAGUAUAAUUUUUAUAUCAAAUCAUGCAAUUUUCAUUAAAACAGUGCAAUUUUUUUUUUAAAACAGUGUAAUCUUAUUUUAAGAGUGCAAUUUUCAUCAUCUUCUUUCUUCUCCUAUAUUUUUUAAUCUUUUCUGUAGGAGUAAAUAAUUUUUAUUUUAUUUUUAUUAUUCUUAUUUUUUUCUAUAUAUAUAUAUAUAUAUAUAUAUAUAUUUGUCACCACCUCUCCCUCUUUUGCUUUCAUCGCAACCACCGCUACAUCGUCGGAGGUGAUCUCGCUGCCUCCGAUGACGUCUCGGCGUUUUGACGCGUGGUGGAGAAGAAGAGCCUGCGUCUCAAAGUCGCCGUGUCCUAGUGGAGAAGAAGGGUGGCGGCGCGGCCUCAGCAGGGUCGGAGGAUUCGAGCUGAGGCAGGGGAGGUGGGCUCGUUGCCCGCGACGUCACCUGAGCGGGCGAGGGCGACAUCGCCGGGGCAAGGGGUGGCGUUUCCGUCUCCGCCGCUCUCUGGGAAAAGAAAGAAGAAAAGAACGAGAGAAAAAAAAAAAAAAGGAGAGAGAAAAAGGAACAAGGGUAUUUUGGUCAGUUUGUUGAAAAAUCGGACCAAAUUUGUAAAAACAAAAAAGGUGGCCCACUUUUACAAAAACCCAAAAUUAGUGGAUUUUUUAUGCAAAUUGGUCAUUUCUUUUUGAUAGUUAACUUUCAUAAUUAAUAUUUGUUUAUACAUUAAGGACAAAAAUAGGUUCUGUAAUAGCAGUAUUGGAGUUUUUCCAUUAUUUUGUUUAAAAAUGGAGUUUGUAUUUAUAAAAGUGUAUUUGGAUGCAUGUUUCCAGCUAAGUUUAUUUUUAAAAAAAAUAAAUGAAACAACAUGCUAUCUUUCUCUCAAAAAAUAAUAGCAAAAAUAUCUUAAAAUGUUAUAAAUCCGUUAUAAAAAUGAAAAACAUGAUACUAAAAUUGUACAAAGAUACUUCUGAAAUGAAUUUAGAAGUAUGAAAAAAAAAUUGGUCAAUAAAUAAUUUAAAAAUAAAUGGCCAAUUUGCAAAAUCUACCGAUUUUGCGUUUUUGCAAAUAUAGACCACUUUUUUAGUUUUUGCGGAUUAAGUCUGAAUUUUUAAUAAACUGAUCAAAAUAUUUUUAUUGCUCUUCUCUCAUUUCUCCUCUCUUUUCAUCUCUCUCCUCGCUGUACUCCUCGCUCUCUUCCUCUAUUUUGUCUUUUGCUUCCUCUCCCUCAUCCUCCUUCUCCAUUACUCUCACGUCAAUACUACUCUCCUCUCUCCUACCUUACCUACACCUCCACUGACAUUGGCGGUGAUGACGCUGACUCCAAUAUGGCAAAAAUAGUAAAGGUGAGGCUACGGUAGAUAGCGUGGCCAACGACGAUGAGGGUGUCGCAGGAUUUGAGGAGGAUAAAGAAAGAGAGCACAAAGGGAUGGGGGCGGCUGUUGUGCCGAAGGGAGAGGGAAGAGGUGCAAGAGCAAAAAGGAUGCAGAAAGUAGAAAAGAAGAAAAAAAAAAUUAAAAAAAUUUCUUCUCCUAAAAAGGCCAUCAUGUGCCAUAGCUGCUAGUAAAGGUGUACGUACGUGGACCGAGUCGGAUUUGGAUAAUUAAUAUACUGUACCCAUAUCCUAAAAAAAAGUGGUUAGAAAAAAAAAAUAUAUACCCUGCCCAUUUAACUUCGGGUCAGAUCCGCGUUUGCGUACUUAAGUUACUAAUAUAACCAUCGGGUCUAUUUGUGCGGGUUUUAGUGAGUACCCGUAUACUACCCGUUCAAGACCGGAUAUGGAUCGGGUCUAGAUCUGGUACGAAUACCCAUAUAAAUAUAUUUUUUUAUAGACUUUAUUAAAUAGUCUAUGGACAAACUAUAAAGCCCCCCAUAACAUACUCACAUCCUAAUAAGUUGUACCAUCCAAUUAAAUUCAUUCAGAAGAACAAAAAUAAAAUAUCCCAAUACGUACAUUGGUCCAAAAUAUAAGCAUCUACUAUUAUAUAGUUAAAAUGCAUACAUGAAAUAUUACAGUGGAAAAAUAAGUUUGAAGUUUUUUUAAUUUUCAUGAGUGAACAAUAACAUAAUAGUCACAAUAACUAAUAAAAUAGUUAUUAAAAUUUUUCUCUUUGUUGAUUGAUUCUUUUUGCAAGAUAUUCAGCAACAAAAAUUGUUGAAUUUGUCAAAUAAACUAUAUUAGAAUGUACCAUAAAAGUACUCAAUAAAGAGAUUUUAAAAAUUUACCUUUAAAAAUUGUUCAUAUGAACCAAAAGAAAUGAGUAAAAGAAAAGGCUUGGGUUUCAUUAGGAUGAAAAUACGUAGUGACCCCUCAUCUAUAAGUCAUAUUAAAAUUGAUCCUUCAACUUCAAAAGUUUAUUUUUUUUAUUUACUAUCGGAUAUUUCACCGGGUCCAGGUCCGUGUCCAGAUUUGAAAACUAUUCCAGACCCUACAUAUUUAAAAGUUGGGUUCGGGUCGGAUCCAAAUCGGGUAUGGGUAUAAAAUAUCCGGACCCAUACCCGAAACUUUAAUGGGUAAUUUUUUUUAUCCGUAUACUAUUCAUUUUUUAUCGUGUCCGGUUCGGGUCCGAGUAGGGUCCGGGUAAGGUCCGGAUCGAGUAUGGGAUAUUGGAUAUUUUGGACAGCUUUAGUUGCUACAAGAAAGGCCAAGAAAUAAAGAAGAAAAAAAAAAAGUUAUAUUGUUUGAAAUGUAGCUAGACUGUUUGAGACUAAGUUGACUAUUUUAAAAUUAUUUGAGAAUAAAUUACAGCAAAGAAAAUAGAAGUUGCACUGUUUAAGACUAAUUAAUUUGUACUUUUAAAAUUUAAGUUGCACCGUUUGAGAAGUUGAAACUUAGUCUCAAAUAGUUUUAAAUGAGAAGUUAUAAUUUAAUCUCAAAUAAUUUUAAAUAGUACAAUUUAAAUAUCAAACAGUGCAACCUCUAUAUGUAGUGCAACUUAGUCUCAAAUACUUUUAAAUGGUACAACUUAAAACAGUGUAACUUAUUUCAAAUAGUGUAGCUUCUUUCUCUCUUCUAAACUGAUUAGUCUUUCCUGUAGUGAUCACUGGACACAAUGGCUUUCCCAGGGAAGAAAAUAUUUUUUUCUUAUUUUUUUAUUCUUUCUUUUUCUUGUUUGUCCACUUCCUGCUUUUCCACUACUAUGCUCCCUCCCUUGCCCAUUGCUGCAGCAACCGCUCCUACCUCUAACCCAGGGGCUUUCUGUAACACACUGGACCUUUGCAAAUUGCGAGGUUCGAGUGUUCGAGCUGUGUGCUGAGCAAUUCCAGAUUUUCUGGUGGGUCGUUGACAGUGUUCCGACCUAUGGUUCGCAUCCCGAGAAGUGAGGUUUAAAGCCGAGCACGAAAACCCGAAAAAUCGGAUUUUUGGUUAGCUCUCGGGUUGCCUUCAGAGGGCUGUGUACCGGUACGGGAGUGAUGGCUGUACCGGUACAGCCAUCGACUUUGGCCGCUUCUCAGCCAACCCGAGGCUCGGGCUGGGCGUUUUCGCAGAUGGUGUACCGGUACACGGGCCCGUGUACCGGUACGCAGUGCAGAUUCUGAGCAGUUUGAACUGCAGGGGGUUUUUCGCGAUUGUGGCCUUCUAUAUAGCCACCCACGCCCCUAGGGCUCUCCCUGAGCUUGGCACCAGCAAGGAGAAAGGUGAGGGAGCUCUCCAUACCUCCUCAUUCCUUUUCCUUGAUUUUGCUUGGGUUUUUAAGAGAUUAAAUCACCCUUAUUUUGCUCCUUUUGUUUUGGAGCUAUUCCAACAUUGGAGCUGUUUGAUCUUGUUGGACGGAGAAGAUUCUUGACCUGUGUUGAAACUCUUGUUUGGAGGCUUCUAAAGAUGUGGUGCUUAUCUUAUUCCAUCUAUAUUUGGUUGAUCUUGUCAGUAAUCACCUAAAUGGAAAUUAGGGUUUAUUUGGGCAUUUUCGUUUUAGGGCUUUUGAAGCUCAAUUAGUUGGUUUAGAACCCUCCUAAGGCUUGGAUUAGAAGGAUUCUAGCCCUCAUUUGGAGCUUAAGAGAGGAUUUUUGCUCUUGAGGUGAGUUUUGCCCAUUUUGCUAGAUGCUUAAUGAUUGAGCUUUUCGCUCUUCGUUUCGUUUGGGUAACCCCGUUUUUGAUGCUCUUAGGGUACUAGGGAGCUUGCCGAAACCUUCGUUCGGCGGAUCGAAAAGCUUCGUUGUCGUCGGUGGGUUUGGCCUAGCCUAUAAUAUGAGAAAAUCUCAUAUUUGGUGAUAAGUGCUUGGUUUACUAAUAAUUCAUGCAUUUUUAUAUUAAAUACAUUUAUUAUGAGUUUUAGAAUGCUUAAAAUGCAUAAGUUAUACAUGAUGAAUUUUUGGACCUCUAUGUAGUAGAGAGUAGAUUAUUAGGCCAUAGUUGCAUUUAGCAUUCCAUGUGAGACGUGGUAUCAUGCCUCUAUAGUAUAAAUGAGUUCGGAUUCAUGCGUUUAAACCUAAGUUUACUUGUGAUGUGAAAAUUGACAAGAUUGACAUUUAGAAGCUAUGGGAAUUAGAGAGCUAAUGUCAUCAAGCGGCAUUGAGCUCGGGACAUGUGUGAACCUAGUGGAUAGGGCCAUUGAGGGAUUUGGAAAACGUGUUGGACAUCAAAUUGCCUAAGUGUCAUUAAGGGGCACUAGGCGUAGCAAAUGUUGAAACCUCACAUUGUGAUUUAAACUAGAUCUUCGGGAUGCUAGUGACUUUACCAUGUUAGAGACAUGAGAAUUUGAUAUUUGAGACUUGGACUUUGCUUGCUUGCCAUUUGUGCUCAUUCGCACAUGCUUGUGAGGGUCGCUCCCUACAAGCCGGCACUCCGGAGUUAGCCUAUGCGACUUAUGUUCGCUCGUGCGGUAUCGAGAAGCCUACGGGGUCGAGUGGGACAGACACAUUCCAUGAGUAGGAAUGUCGGGCUACCACAGGCACUUAGGCGGCACAAGCUGGACUACCUUGGGUAGGUCCCUAAUUGGAAAUGGAAAUCGACACAGUUUGAAAAUGAACACUCCCUACUAGUUAGGCUUAGUAGUUGGAGUACAUUUACAUGCAUAUAGCAUAGGGUUGAGACAUGUAGUACACUUGACAGUUACUUAUUUCAUCACAGUAUACUUGGUUGCCACGAUAGAGCUUAUACAUCAUGUUUGAAUAAAGGGUUGUAUCAGUAAACUGUUGUCAUCGGUUACUUUUCCCCUAUGAUAGAAUAUAAGUACAAUAUUUUGACAUCGUGCUUAUGAGGGAUAUAUUAGUAUAGCAAUUUACUUAUGCACUCUCUUUCAGCAGUUUAUUUGCAUGCUCCUUUCUAUUGCUUAUUACUAUUAGCAUUACUCACCCUUGUUUUUGGGGCCUAGUGGAGCAGGAGCUGAGGUCAGUAAUUGCCCACUGGGAACUAUAAAUUAUAGUUCUCACGCCAUCUUUUUCUCGAUGUUUUCAGAGCUUUCCACUCAGGGUGAGGCCAGGGACCGCGGGAAGGGAGUUGCUUCGAGCUAGCUUCCUUCGAGGACGAUUCACUAGGUGGUCUACCUCUCGCUGUGUUUUAUUUUGGAGAGGUUGAGAGUUCUACCAGUGUAUUAGUGACCACCAUUUUUGUAUUAGAGGCUGAUACUGUAUAACUUAUGUUUACUUUCAUGUGUUAGUUAUGUUCUAUUACUAUUGGUGUUGAUGUUAGAACUUUACUCGCUCUGAUAUCAUUAGUUGUUAGUCAUUUCACUCCUUCUAUUUGUUCUACUGCUUGCCUUUACUUCCGCUUUUAUUGUAGACGCCUUAUAUGUGUAGACAUAUGGCGGGUCUGGGCACGCCACCGGGAGGGCCUCCGCCGGUCCCGGGGCGUGACAUAUGGUUUUACUUACAGCUCUCCACCAUCUGCCGAUGACAUAAAGGAAACUCAACCUACCCAAAAAAAAAGACUUAGGUGAGUUAGAAUGUACUUUAUUUCUUUCCUCAAAUAUGUACUAUUUAUAGCUAAGGUUAUGUUAAACUUAUGUUUUUAUUGUGUUCUUUAUUUUUAUUUGCAGUUUCGAUGAGGGUUCUUCCACAAAUGAAGACCAGNGAGCAAGAGCUGAGGUCAGUAAUUGCCCACUGGGAACUAUAAAUUAUAGUUCUCACGCCCUCUUUUUCUCGAUGUUUUUCAGAGCCUUCCACUCAGGGAGAGGCCAGGGAUCGCGGAAAGGGUAUCGCCUCGGGCUAGCGUGCUUACCGAGGGAUCGUUCGAUAGGUGGUCUACCUCUCGUGUUAUCUUUUAGUGAGAGGUUGAGAGUUGUACCCGUAUAUGCAUAGAGACCACCAUUUUUGUACUAGAGACAGAUAUUGUACUACUUAUGAUUUCCUUUAUUGUCUAUCCUUAUCUGCUUACUUUGGUGUAGAUGCUAGAACUAUAUUCGCUCUGAUAUCAUUAGUUGCUGGUUACUUCACUUCUUUUAUUUGUUCUAUUUCUCGCUUUUCUUCCGCUCUUAUUGUAGACGCCUUAUAUGUGUAGACAUAUGGCGGGUCUGGGCACGCUACAUGGAGGGCCUCCGCCGGUCCCGGGGCGUGACACUUUCCUUCCUUGUCAUCCUAAAAUCUUGCGACAUUCUUGUUGUCAUCGCUGUCCACGGUCACAUCCUUUGCCGUAGCCUCACUUUCGCGAUUUGUGCUAUAUCCGAUCCCACAUUACCUCCGUUGGCAUCAACGGAGGUGUGGGCGAGGUAGAAGAGAGGAGCAUAGCAUUGACGUAGGGAUGAUGGAAGAGAAGAAGCAGGUACAGAAAUGGAAGAAAAAAGAGAGAAAAAAACGAUGAGAAAGGGGAAACGAAAAGGGAGAAGAAAAGUAAACAGGAGAUAAAACGGAGAGAGAAAGAGAGGAGGGUAUUUUGGUCAUUUUAUUAAAAAUUUAGACCUAAUCUGUAAAAUUUUAAAAAAUGAUCUAUUUUUGCAAAAAUGCAAAACCAGUGAAUUUUUUAUAUGAAUUGGCCAUUUUUUAAAAAUAUAUAAUAUAAUAUAAUAACUAUGUAAUAUUUGAGACUUUUAAAGGGAAAAAUUCAAAUUUUGAGCUCGUGCCCUCCCCCAGGGCUAUGUAAUAUCUGAGACUUUUAAAGGAAAAAAAUUCAAAUUUUGGGCCCGUUUGGGCUCGUGCGACCGCACGGGGCUAAGUUGCCUUUGUCGUUGUCGGCCGCCAUCGCCCUCUUUUCCUCUCAGUUCAAAAGGAGGUCCGUGCCCCUCCCUCGGCUGCUCCGGCCAUCGCCGUGGCCGGAGAGGGAGGACAAGCCCGAUAUGAAGUUGUGCGGGCUCAGCUUGCUCUCGUGCCACCACCGCCACCUCCUGCCACCGACAAGCGCGUCACCGAGCUGCCACCGGUCGAGUGUGGACUAUUGUGCUCCCCCAAGCUCGGUUAGGGCUUAGUUGGUGACCCUUCAGUAUUCUGGCGAUCUGGGGCCACUCUGACGCCUUCGAAGGUGAGCACGAGGACCCUACGAAAUGCUGAUCAUAGUGCUCAUGUGUUUCGCUAUUAGCGAGACACAGAUCGCUAUUUUUCUCCAUUGUCGCUCCCGGGGCGUAUUUCCUUACUGAACUUCGGCUGGCUCCAAUGUACUCCACAGAGGCUUGCGAUGCUCCGAAUAGUGAGCACAGCCUGUCUUGAUGAGACCUUUCUGUUGGUACACUCGGUUGGCCUUUAAAGUGCUCGGAUCGAGAUAACGGCCCUAAUCUCCUUAAUAUGCAUAUAUAUUUCAAUUAUUGUGAUUGUUAAGGGUGUUUACGCAAUUGUUUCACUGUGGUCUGCUCUGGGCUAUAUGUCUAUGUCGUGUGUGACCUCUGAACUGAUCGUCCAAGGUCCGAAACCUUCUGCGGAGAUCGAAUCUUCGUUUUAUUGCAUUUUUUGGUGAAAUCUGCUAACGAAACGUAGUUUCGAUUUGGAUUUCACCCUAUGCUAUUGGAAUGCUUUAGUUUUCUCUGCUGAGCAUUAUUGGCUGAUCACCUACAUCAUCUCGAGUGUUAGUAGACGACGGGUGUGUGGCGGAGGGUUCCCGUAUCGAAUUUGACACUUCCGGAAACCUAGGUUGAAACGAAUAUCCAACGAUAAUCGUUCCGACGUGAGAUUUGGUGUUUACUGCCAGGACACCAAAAAUGGUGUGCUUCGAGGUAGCGAGUGACUCGUGACACGAGUUGGUGAGUUUCAGAACACUUUGUGGGUUCCAGUGACGUCCCGAUGUGAUUUCGGGACUUCUGGCGAGUUACGGAGAUCGAUUUUUGAAAAAUCGAUUUCGUGAAAAAUUUGGGGAUUGUGAGUAUUGUGUUUGAGUCAGUUAGGUUGGACUCUGACUCUAUGGG